UACAGAGGGUGCAAGCGUUAAUCGGAAUUACUGGGCGUAAAGCGUGCGUAGUCGGUUAUUUAAGUCGGAUGUGAAAUCCCCGGGCUCAACCUGGGAAUUGCAUUCGAUACUGGAUAGCUAGAGUUCGGCAGAGGGAAGCGGAAUUUCUGGUGUAGCGGUGAAAUGCGUAGAUAUCUGGAGGAAUACCGGUGGCGAAGGCGGCAUCCUGGACCGAUAUUGACACUGAUGAGCGAAAGCUAGGGGAGCAAACGGG
This 253-nucleotide ribosomal RNA is filed under the name uncultured bacterium. RNAcentral describes it as "partial 16S ribosomal RNA". It matches the Rfam family "Bacterial small subunit ribosomal RNA", at positions 524 to 776 of the family's 1533-position model. The record is from RNAcentral.